UACAGAGGGUGCGAGCGUUAAUCGGAAUUACUGGGCGUAAAGCGCGCGUAGGCGGCUUUGCAAGUCGGAUGUGAAAUCCCCAGGCUUAACCUGGGAACUGCUUCCGAGACUGCAUCGCUAGAGUAUGGGAGAGGGAAGUGGAAUUUCAGGUGUAGCGGUGAAAUGCGUAGAUAUCUGAAGGAACAUCAGUGGCGAAAGCGACUUCCUGGACCAAUACUGACGCUCAUGUGCGAAAGCGUGGGGAGCAAACAGGAUUAGAAACCCCCGUAG
Molecule: ribosomal RNA, 270 nt
Filed under: uncultured bacterium
Lineage: Bacteria
Description: partial 16S ribosomal RNA
Rfam family: Bacterial small subunit ribosomal RNA
Source: RNAcentral